This 853-nucleotide long non-coding RNA is filed under the name Sorghum bicolor (sorghum). Its description in RNAcentral is "long non-coding RNA (SBIC_LNC014984)". Lineage: Eukaryota; Viridiplantae; Streptophyta; Magnoliopsida; Poales; Poaceae. The record is from RNAcentral.
UCGGCCUAUACAUUGGUACUUGCAGAUGCAGGAAUGGAUGUCAAGCAUGAAAGAGAAUGAUCAAUAUUCCAGCGAACAAGCAGUAGAAAACUGAUAAUGAUACAAUGACAUCAGAAGUAGUAGAUGGCGCUUCUUCUGCCUAAAUAAGACAACAGUAUCUCUGGUUUCUUCAGCUAGCAAAAUGUUCGAUCAAACGUGCUGUGUGUUUUAAUUCACAUCCUCAUGCAUCUGUCUCCUACAAAUUGUGUUGUUGAUAUCACGGCAACUAGCUAGUAGUCUACUAGCUACUAGUAUUAGUCAGAAUUUGAAGGCACCCGGCUUGAGGGAUAGCAAGUUGCUUUGGUGAGAGCCAUACAGGAGACCAGCGCCAAUGGUGUAGAGGCACUUAGGGAGGGUGCUGUGCUGCAAUCUGCUGGCUUUGGUGUUCGAUUGCUAGGGGGCCUAAUUGGGUAGAGAUUAAGACUGUGGUAGAAUCGAUGUCCUGACGACAACUCCCCCAGUACAGAUUACACAAAAAGAUACCGCUCAAGCCAAAGUGGUGGGAACUCAGUAGCCGAAGUGGUGGAGUACCAGAGGUUUAACCACAUGAAUAUAUCUACCAUUGUUAGCCCCCAAAAAAACUGAACAUUCCAGGACAGUCAUUUAACGUUGGCCUUUACAUACAGUUUAACACGGCUAUGGCUAGCAUGCAUUAAAUCAGAUAGGAGCUUCAAGGAUAACACUAACCAUGCAUGCAAAUGAGCUGACAAUACCCCAAAUCGUGGCAGGGCAUGCAAAGACACAUACCAACAGGCUCAAAACAAUUAACUAAGUAACGAGCUGACAAAGCAGUUCUAGUUAAUUAGGAGCUAAC